This 427-nucleotide ribosomal RNA is filed under the name uncultured bacterium. RNAcentral's name for it is "bacterial SSU rRNA". It matches the Rfam family "Bacterial small subunit ribosomal RNA", at positions 355 to 774 of the family's 1533-position model. The record is from RNAcentral.
UGGGGAAUUUUGGACAAUGGGCGAAAGCCUGAUCCAGCAAUGCCGCGUGUGUGAAGAAGGCCUUCGGGUUGUAAAGCACUUUUGUCCGGAAAGAAAUCCUCUGGGUUAAUACCUCGGGGGGAUGACGGUACCGGAAGAAUAAGCACCGGCUAACUACGUGCCAGCAGCCGCGGUAAUACGUAGGGUGCAAGCGUUAAUCGGAAUUACUGGGCGUAAAGCGUGCGCAGGCGGUUUUGUAAGACGGAUGUGAAAUCCCCGGGCUUAACCUGGGAACUGCAUUCGUGACUGCAAGGCUAGAGUAUGGCAGAGGGGGGUAGAAUUCCACGUGUAGCAGUGAAAUGCGUAGAGAUGUGGAGGAAUACCGAUGGUGAAGGCAGCCCCCUGGGCCAAUACUGACGCUCAUGCACGAAAGCGUGGGGAGCAAACA